ACUUUUAAAGGAAAAUAGUC
This 20-nucleotide transfer RNA is filed under the name Brookesia minima (minute leaf chameleon). RNAcentral's name for it is "partial tRNA-Leu". The record is from RNAcentral. Lineage: Eukaryota; Metazoa; Chordata; Lepidosauria; Squamata; Chamaeleonidae.